CUUUUACAAUGAAGAGUUUGAUCCUGGCUCAGGAUGAACGCUAGCUACAGGCUUAACACAUGCAAGUCGAGGGGCAUCAGGAAGAAAGCUUGCUUUCUUUGCUGGCGACCGGCGCACGGGUGAGUAACACGUAUCCAACCUGCCCUUUACUCGGGGAUAGCCUUUCGAAAGAAAGAUUAAUACCCGAUGGCAUAAUGAUUCCGCAUGGUUUCAUUAUUAAAGGAUUCCGGUAAAGGAUGGGGAUGCGUUCCAUUAGGUUGUUGGUGAGGUAACGGCUCACCAAGCCUUCGAUGGAUAGGGGUUCUGAGAGGAAGGUCCCCCACAUUGGAACUGAGACACGGUCCAAACUCCUACGGGAGGCAGCAGUGAGGAAUAUUGGUCAAUGGGCGCUAGCCUGAACCAGCCAAGUAGCGUGAAGGAUGAAGGCUCUAUGGGUCGUAAACUUCUUUUAUAUAAGAAUAAAGUGCAGUAUGUAUACUGUUUUGUAUGUAUUAUAUGAAUAAGGAUCGGCUAACUCCGUGCCAGCAGCCGCGGUAAUACGGAGGAUCCGAGCGUUAUCCGGAUUUAUUGGGUUUAAAGGGAGCGUAGGUGGACUGGUAAGUCAGUUGUGAAAGUUUGCGGCUCAACCGUAAAAUUGCAGUUGAUACUGUCAGUCUUGAGUACAGUAGAGGUGGGCGGAAUUCGUGGUGUAGCGGUGAAAUGCUUAGAUAUCACGAAGAACUCCGAUUGCGAAGGCAGCUCACUGGACUGCAACUGACACUGAUGCUCGAAAGUGUGGGUAUCAAACAGGAUUAGAUACCCUGGUAGUCCACACAGUAAACGAUGAAUACUCGCUGUUUGCGAUAUACAGUAAGCGGCCAAGCGAAAGCAUUAAGUAUUCCACCUGGGGAGUACGCCGGCAACGGUGAAACUCAAAGGAAUUGACGGGGGCCCGCACAAGCGGAGGAACAUGUGGUUUAAUUCGAUGAUACGCGAGGAACCUUACCCGGGCUUAAAUUGCAGUGGAAUGAUGUGGAAACAUGUCAGUGAGCAAUCACCGCUGUGAAGGUGCUGCAUGGUUGUCGUCAGCUCGUGCCGUGAGGUGUCGGCUUAAGUGCCAUAACGAGCGCAACCCUUAUCUUUAGUUACUAACAGGUUAUGCUGAGGACUCUAGAGAGACUGCCGUCGUAAGAUGUGAGGAAGGUGGGGAUGACGUCAAAUCAGCACGGCCCUUACGUCCGGGGCUACACACGUGUUACAAUGGGGGGUACAGAAGGCAGCUAGCGGGUGACCGUAUGCUAAUCCCAAAAUCCUCUCUCAGUUCGGAUCGAAGUCUGCAACCCGACUUCGUGAAGCUGGAUUCGCUAGUAAUCGCGCAUCAGCCACGGCGCGGUGAAUACGUUCCCGGGCCUUGUACACACCGCCCGUCAAGCCAUGGGAGCCGGGGGUACCUGAAGUACGUAACCGCAAGGAUCGUCCUAGGGUAAAACUGGUGACUGGGGCUAAGUCGUAACAAGGUAGCCGUACCGGAAGGUGCGGCUGGAACACCUCCUUUCUGGAG
RNAcentral lists this ribosomal RNA (1540 nucleotides) under Bacteroides fragilis. Its description in RNAcentral is "bacterial SSU rRNA". It matches the Rfam family "Bacterial small subunit ribosomal RNA". Lineage: Bacteria; Pseudomonadati; Bacteroidota; Bacteroidia; Bacteroidales; Bacteroidaceae. The record is from RNAcentral.